UUUAGUUUUAAAGCCUAUUUUUUCAGCCUUUUUCUUGCGAUCUUUGUGGGCGAGCAUUUCAAAGAAAAGUGGAUUUAAGAAGACACAAGGAAACUCAACACACAGAGAUUCGAGGUAAUCACAACAGUCACGUGACAAACUCUCCCUUAUCCUUUCCAGGAUUGCAUCAGCUGCACAUGUUUCAGCCACAGAUUCCGUUAAGCUCAUUGAGAAAACCAAUGUAACCGAAUCUCUGAAGAAUUGAAUAUUCUUAAAUGUUUUCUUCUGGUGGGAAAAUUAGAUGUUGUCUUCUGUCACAUCUUUUGAUGCUAAAAUUUAUCUGAUUGAUUUCAAAAAGUAAAUAACAAGCUGAAUUUUAGCAAAUACUCCCAAAUGUGCUCUAGCGGCUCCAAACGUAUAUAAUUCUUCUAGUUGCUCCAAAAAUUGUACAAUUCUUCUAGUUGCUCCAAAAAGUGUAUAAUUCUUCUAGUUGCUCCAAAAAGUGUAAAAUUCUUCUAGUUGCUCCAAAAAGUGCACAAUUGCUCCAAAAACGAUUAAAACAAUGCGAAAUACUUGAGUGCUAUAAUUCCCUAAACUGAAAUCAAUGGAUUCUAGUCAAAUUGGAUUGUUAACGGAUUGUUUAAGCGACCUAUUUUAAAGUGACAUUAGAAAUUCAUUUCUACAGCAAAGGUUUGCUUAAAAAAACGUUAACAUUGCUUUAUUUAAAUUUUUAAACAAAUCUCCUAAAUGUACUUUUUGUCAGAUUGAUUAAUGAUGUAAUCUCAUUACAGGUAUUCUAGUAAUUAAUUAGGUAUUCAAUUAAUUAGUUAGUUUGCCAUUACGCAAUAUUACAUAUUAUGAUAAACGAACGAAGACGACAGAAAUUUUUAUAACCAUGGGUAAAAUCUUCAUAAUAUUUUGCGGCAUUAGCGCAGCUCGGAUUUUAAGUCAUAGGUUUACAAAGGAUUAAAGUCGGUUUCACCAUAGUAAAAGUUUUAGACACAGUAAAAUGGGGUCGGCUCCCCGGCACCCCCCCCCCAUUCAUUGAAAAAAAAGUUCGGAUAAAUUUAAUUUAACUAUUGUUUGACGUGUUUUAAAGAAAAUAUGCAUAUCAAACUUUCUUAAUGAAUUAAGUUAAGAGAUUUAAAUUUAAAUUAUGUAAAACUUAAUUGUUCUUAUGUAUUUGUUUUUAUAUACAUAUUAUAUCAGAGCCAUAUGUUAAUGGUUUAGAAACAAAUAAAUUUCUUCAAAUCA
Eurytemora carolleeae is the source of this 1233-nucleotide long non-coding RNA. RefSeq lists it as uncharacterized. The transcript is spliced from 4 exons. The record is from RefSeq and is a predicted model, not a curated record. NCBI's taxonomy places the organism in Eukaryota, Metazoa, Arthropoda, Copepoda, Calanoida, Temoridae.